GAUGAACGCUGGCGGCGUGCCUAAUACAUGCAAGUCGAGCGAACAGACGAGGAGCUUGCUCCUCUGACGUUAGCGGCGGACGGGUGAGUAACACGUGGAUAACCUACCUAUAAGACUGGGAUAACUUCGGGAAACCGGAGCUAAUACCGGAUAACAUGUUGAACCGCAUGGUUCAACAGUGAAAGACGGUUUUGCUGUCACUUAUAGAUGGAUCCGCGUCGCAUUAGCUAGUUGGUAAGGUAACGGCUUACCAAGGCAACGAUGCGUAGCCGACCUGAGAGGGGGAUCGGCCACCCGGAAACUGAGAAACGGCCCAGACUCCUACGGGAGGCAGCAGUAGGGAAUUUUCCGAAAUGGGCGAAAGCCUGACGGAGCAACGCCGCGUGAGUGAAGAAGGCCUUCGGAUCGUAAAACUCUGUUAUUAGGGAAGAAAAAAUGUGUAAGUAACUAUGCACGUCUUGACGGUACCUAAUAAGAAAGCCACGGCUAACUACGU
RNAcentral lists this ribosomal RNA (496 nucleotides) under uncultured bacterium. Its description in RNAcentral is "partial 16S ribosomal RNA". It matches the Rfam family "Bacterial small subunit ribosomal RNA", at positions 28 to 506 of the family's 1533-position model. The record is from RNAcentral.